RNAcentral lists this ribosomal RNA (497 nucleotides) under uncultured bacterium. RNAcentral describes it as "partial 16S ribosomal RNA". It matches the Rfam family "Bacterial small subunit ribosomal RNA", at positions 28 to 507 of the family's 1533-position model. The record is from RNAcentral.
GAUGAACGCUGGCGGCGUGCCUAAUACAUGCAAGUCGAGCGAACAGACGAGGAGCUUGCUCCUCUGACGUUAGCGGCGGACGGGUGAGUAACACGUGGAUAACCUACCUAUAAGACUGGGAUAACUUCGGGAAACCGGAGCUAAUACCGGAUAAUAUAUUGAACCGCAUGGUUCAUUAGUGAAAGACGGUUUUGCUGUCACUUAUAGAUGGAUCCGCGCCGCAUUAGCUAGUUGGUAAGGUAACGGCUUACCAAGGCAACGAUGCGUAGCCGACCUGAGGGGGUGAUCGACCACACUGGAGCUGAUGCACGGUCCAGACGACUACGAGAGGCAGCAGUAGGGAAUCUUCCGCAAUGGGCGAAAGCCUGACGGAGCAACGCCGCGGGAGUGAUGAAGGUCUUCGGAUCGUAGAACUCUGUUAUUGGGAGAGAACAAAUGUGUAAGUAACUAUGCACGUCUUGACGGUACCUAAACAGAAAGCCACGGCUAACUACGUG